Molecule: long non-coding RNA, 4337 nt
Organism: Helianthus annuus (common sunflower)
Lineage: Eukaryota; Viridiplantae; Streptophyta; Magnoliopsida; Asterales; Asteraceae
Exons: 14
Source: RefSeq, a predicted model, not a curated record
CUCUUCCUACGCCUCUGUCACAAACCCUACUAGCGAAAAUCCAACACCUCCAACACAAAUCAGUUUUCUUCGUUGCGAUUCCUACACUUCCAUCACAAAUCAGUUUUCUUCAUUGUGAUUAGUGGAAACACUCAAGAUUCCAACGAUUCGGCUUAGUAUUGUUUGUUCGGUCACAAUCUAGACCAGAAACCCUAAUUUCAUGGCGAUGCGGUUUACGAACAAACAGAUCUGUGGAUAGAAUGCCCUAGCCGCCACCUCCAGCAGUCAAGGCUAGGGUUUCGACAAGUUGAUCCUGAGCAAGUCCAGUUUUGAUGGUUGUUUUUUUUUUUCAAAAAGGAUGAACCAUGGCAAGCCUCUUGGUGCAGUUCCCACACGUCUGAACGACCUUGCAACUUUAGUUGUCGGGACACACGUACCAAAGUUUCGCAACCUUCAUCGCCAACACAGUAUUUGAAGCCACUGAUAACAGUACCAUAGCAUCAACGACAGUGAUUUACAAAAGGUGUUGUGACCCGUUUUCAACCUGAAUCCAUAUUGGCCCUUAAUGAUCCACAGUUAGUUGUUAUCGCAUAUUUCUCGAGCUAAGCUGACCUUUAAACAUAUCGGGGUUUUCGUCAGCCAAAAAACUUUAGCAUUUAGUGGUAGCGCGUGGCUACGGUUGUGCGGUGGCUGAAUCGGGUGGUGAUCGGCGGUUGAUUUAUAGCCGUGAAUGGUGACGUAUAGCUGCCAUUCUGGUCAGUUUUGGGCUGAAGCCUUGAAUACAUUUCGCUUAACGGGUCGUGCCUUGACCAGGUUCAUGUGCGGACACAAGUGAGAAAGAUGCAAUAUUUAACUAUAGGAGGAAGUAUCUACCCACUCAGCAGGUACCUUCUUUGCCAUCUUACAGUUAUAUGAUGAGUUUUUUUUUUCCUUAUGUUUGUAAUAUCACAGAGUGAAUGCCAACAACAAAUAUGGAUGAUGAAGUGUCUUCCAAAUACAAUGUAGAGUACAUUGCUAGAGGUGCUAACUCAGAAUUCAAUUCGAGUAGCGCAGUGGUUACUUCAAAUCCCGGGCGCAACAUGCUAUAUGGGUUGUAUUGACAAGGACAACUAUGGGCUACAAAGGAACACUACACAUUGCCACUGUCGUGCUCUGCCGCCGAUAUCCAUUGAUUUGAACACGCUUCGUUUCUCCAUUGAGUUCAAAAGUUUCGAUCCCUCUGAGGUCAAUGCAACCAGUUCCAGGUGACUCUUGUCUGGUUGCAACGGAAAAUGGAUUCACGGUCGCUGCAUUGUGAUUAUCUCCGCCAGUCCGACGGAUGACGGCCAUAAUUUAACCUAGGGUGGGUGAUCAAAGUGAAUCUAGCCGCAUCAAGCCGCCGUGGUUACGCGAUCUGGAGACGGGUAGGAUUUAAUCCGAGUUUUCGCAUCGCUUGAGGGUGUUAAUGGCGCCAACGGUCGAGAAACGUAUGAUAGCAGUUUCGUCUGAGAAGCAACUGCUGCUGAUAAUAAAAAUUAUGUGGUUACGAAUUCCAAUUCUUCAUCGAAGGUGGAGGUUAUUUGGUCUUAUCUUCCAGAUAUGAUAUCAAGGUGAACAAUCACAUCCUUGCUGAAGAUAAGCAUUUGCCUAUGGAUGAUGACGUGUCUUCCAAAUACAAUGUAGAGUCUAAUAUGGUGCUGUCGGUAAGUCAAAACAUGUUCAGGUUGAAGCAAGUCAUUUUUAGGAUGGUUCAAAAUCGGACGCUUUUAGUACAGAUAAGAGGCGUUCAUAUUUAUUAUUUUAACUUAUUUUUGGGCCUUAUCUAAAUCUUUUGUAGUUGGGAUACAUUCCCUUUGUCCCAAAACUAUUGUCCAUCAAAAAAAAGGACAAUUUAAUAUAUGUAAAAUUAAUAUAAUCAGCUAGACGUAUGUCAAGUUUACCCUUUAAUUCCAUAUGAUACCAAUUGACAAUAGCUGAGACCCGAGGUAAACAAAGCUUUGAAGACUGCCUAUACUGGCAAACUCAUUGGUUCUUGUCUAGAGGCUAAGGUGUACCUUCAACAUUCUGAUGAUGAUAAGCUUGCUAAGAGAUUAAGGAAUAUGUGUGAAGCUAAAAUUGAUGACGACUCAGUGCAUUGCAUAUUCAUAAUAUCUCGGGUAUUAACAUCUAUGUCUUUUAUAAUUUUUUUAGUUUUUUAAUCUAUAUUUUAUUAAAAACCAAAUCGGCCCUGAUGCUAAUAGUUGUAUAUGUGUUUAUAAAUCUUACAUCUUAUGAAUGGGUGCUGGCGAAUUGCCUUUAAAAACAAUAACGUUGGUGAGUUCCACUCAUUUGCAUAUGAAUGGGUCAAUUUGGAUGAUGUUGUAUCUCAAACUGGUCAGAUUAAAAUAUAUAACUAAUAAAGAGAGAAUGGGUCGAUCUUCAACAUAUUAUGUGUUUAUAAAGAGUUUAAAAGAUUGGAUAAAGGUGGGUUGCAAGUCAACCAAGCCCAUUUUAACCCACACUAAAAUUUACCCAUUGAACACCAAUAACCCAACCUUUUCGACACAUCCAUUUUGCAACUUAUAAUUUUUUUUAUUUGUAGUCUGUUUAACAAACUCUCUCUAAAAGAAUAAUUAAUUCAGGGCCAUUAUUGUUUUGGGUUAACCAGAAGCCUUUCUGACUUGAACAUCGGUUAGUCAGUUUCCCAACCUAUAUGCCUCGCCCCUGUUUACGACUAAUAAUCUUUUCUAUUUGUCAUUCAUUUCCUAUUUCUCUUUGAAAAAAGGUGGUUUCGUUUAUGUUCAUAAGUCUGAUUGACAAAUAUUGUACAACUGGGUGUGUAAACCUUCAAUUCCGGGUAUUGCCUACCAAAAGUAACUCAAACGUGGACUUUAAUUGAUUUGCGAGAGUGCAUUCUCACACUAGGUGCAUAAACCACAUUAGUAGGAUGUCUUGAUGUUGGAUGGAUGAAGGAUAAUGUUGUAAGACGCAUCCGUAGGUUUUCUUGGGGUAUAUAAGUCACCAUUGUCGUGCUCUUAAUUAAUAAUAAACUUGUGUUCUCUGUUAUUGCAUGGAGUAGCGAAUAGCAAAUUCACCAUUGAUUGUUUAAAAAUUUAGCAAGUGGGCUGUUGUGUAGUAAAAAAAAGCACAUGAGUAUGAGUAUGUUGUAAUGAUCCUCAGUAUUGUUUAUCGUUUUUGAAAAGGAAAAAAGACAACCAAAAGAAUAUAUAUACACAAGUUGGUAGGAUGUUACACUUUUAAGAUGAAAAAGAUCAUUGAAGCCUUCCUUUACAAAAAGCCUUCCUUGGUACAACUCAGUCAAUAUUCGUACGAUUUCCAUGCUAUUUAUUGGGUCUGGAGAUCGGGACAAACAACACCUGUCUUUGCAUACUAUGUAAUGGAACAUGGCACCAUGGAAGAAAAGAUUUAUAAGCGUCAGGUAAAUCCUAUCUAUGUAGAGUUUUUAAUAUCAACCCAUUCACAUAUGAAAAUUGAAUUGGUUGUUUCAGGUUAUGCUGUAUCGUUUACGGGUCAAAUAUGUAAAUAAAAACAAUUAGCUUAAGGGGAGAAAUUUGCUUGAAGUGUAUUUCAAAUACAUCAAACAACCUAUUCAUGUUAACGAAGUUCUAGAUAUUGAAUAUGAUGAUUUUAAAUAUAUCCAUUUAAACAAUUAUCCUUUUAAGUUUUGAUACUGGGAGUUUUAAUAAAAUAAGAAUGAUUUUGAAUUUAAUAGUAGGAAGCCAAAAGGAUUAAAGGCCAUCAAGCUAACUCAUUAGGUUUGGGUAUUAUAUUAUAAACAUCUUAGAUGGGCCCUUACCAUGAGAUUAAAAGUAUUAUAUUAUGAAUAUAUGGGUCAUGACAGGUAACCUUUUGGUACACGUUAGGUUGACAUGAAAAAUUUUGUGUCCAUAUUUGUAUAUUAUUUUUCACUAUUACUUUUUUAUAAUAUUAAUCUUUUGACUUUUCGAAGUCUAAUCCUUAUCUUUUUUUAGAAAGGCAAAAUAUGAGGGUAUCUGUAUGCAUACUUAUGUCCAACUAAACAUAUAUAUUGAUUUGACACAUUAAUUUAUAAGUUGAAGACUUGAGUGGAUGCAAGAUGGAUUGAGACAAAUAAUUCUGGAUCAAGGAACAAAUUGAUAAAGAAAGAGGUAAGGUUUUGACCUUUUAGCAUACAUGUCAUCUAAAGUGGUUGGGUUCCAAGCAUCAGUUCAACUCGGGUCUCUCAAUGAUGUGGAAGGCAAGUAAUAAAUGUGCUAUCCUCAAGUCUUAAUUUCAAGAUUAGCCGGCAUGUCUGUUAAUGAUGCAUACAUGUAUAUGUGUAAUCUUUUUAGCCACUUAAGAUCUCAACUAUUUUUGCAUGAUCUCUUAUUUUUUGUUUACUUAAUAGUUUAUUACUGUAA